AUGAUGUUGAAUAUGGUCGGUUAUUUUGCUUCAGGGUUUUCUCCCAUCACAGACUUUGAACAGGUAAAAGGAAAUGCUCAUUUUCUACAUUUUAUUUGGUGCAAAGUUCAGUUCAGUCAUCCAGAGUCGCUCGCUGGUGGAUGUUUUGCUAUUAUUGUUUACUCUUCGCUGUCGUCCGCCACACAUUCAGGUCUGUUUUUGAACUAUUCUUAUUCCGUUAUUACUACAGUACUACUAUUGCUCUGUUUACUAUGGAGAUAUCAAUGUCAGCCAAAAGGACAGUCAGAUGAUCAGAUGUCAUGGAAAUGGAGAGUCAGACUCACUGGUCUUUACAGCGUUUCACUGGACUCUGUGGCCGUUCGCUCUGAGGCCCCAUCUGACACUGGACUAGGACUAAGGGUCAGAGGUCAGACAGAUGACCUCCCAGUCACUUUAUUAAACGCUCCCAAUGUCCUCCCUCCUAUCACAAUGUUACCAUGGAGAUGGAAGAAGAAUCUGGCAUAUUGUCUGAGAUUGAGAACAGAUCUUGGACAACCUUCUAUACUAAAUGAGCAAUACAAAGAGGGAGCAUCCAGAAGAAAAAUAAACAUGUUGAAGUCUCACUUUCAGGUAUUUUCCUCUUCUUCUGGGAAAUGUAAGGAGAGACAACGCUACUCCAAGCCCAGUCGCUGGGGUUUGGCUCAGCAGCGACCGCUACUCCAAGCCCAGACGCUGGGGUUUGGCUCAGCAGCGACCGCUACUCCAAGCCCAGACGCUGGGGUUUGGCUCAGCAGCGACCGCUACUCCAAGCCCAGACGCUGGGGUUUGGCUCAGCAGCGACCGCUACUCCAAGCCCAGACGCUGGGGUUUGGCUCAGCAGCGACCGCUACUCCAAGCCCAGACGCUGGGGUUUGGCUCAGCAGCGACCGCUACUCCAAGCCCAGACGCUGGGGUUUGGCUCAGCAGCGACCGCUACUCCAAGCCCAGACGCUGGGGUUUGGCUCAGCAGCGACCGCUACUCCAAGCCCAGACGCUGGGGUUUGGCUCAGCAGCGACCGCUACUCCAAGCCCAGACGCUGGGGUUUGGCUCAGCAGCGACCGCUACUCCAAGCCCAGACGCUGGGGUUUGGCUCAGCAGCGACCGCUACUCCAAGCCCAGACGCUGGGGUAUGGCUCAGCAGCGACCGCUACUCCAAGCCCAGACGCUGGGGUUUGGCUCAGCAGCGACCGCUACUCCAAGCCCAGACGCUGGGGUUUGGCUCAGCAGCGACCGCUACUCCAAGCCCAGACGCUGGGGUUUGGCUCAGCAGCGACCGCUACUCCAAGCCCAGACGCUGGGGUUUGGCUCAGCAGCGACCGCUACUCCAAGCCCAGACGCUGGGGUUAGGCUCAGCAGCGACCGCUACUCCAAGCCCAGACGCUGGGGUUUGGCUCAGCAGCGACCGCUACUCCAAGCCCAGACGCUGGGGUAUGGCUCAGCAGCGACCGCUACUCCAAGCCCAGACGCUGGGGUUUGGCUCAGCAGCGACUACAAAAGGCUUUCCUUUCUAUAAACUUUUUUAUUACAAAUACUAA
Molecule: long non-coding RNA, 1554 nt
Organism: Oncorhynchus kisutch (coho salmon)
Lineage: Eukaryota; Metazoa; Chordata; Actinopteri; Salmoniformes; Salmonidae
Source: Ensembl